This 597-nucleotide ribosomal RNA is filed under the name uncultured actinomycete. RNAcentral describes it as "bacterial SSU rRNA". It matches the Rfam family "Bacterial small subunit ribosomal RNA", at positions 330 to 932 of the family's 1533-position model. The record is from RNAcentral. Lineage: Bacteria; Bacillati; Actinomycetota; Actinomycetes; Actinomycetales.
CCCAGACUCCUACGGGAGGCAGCAGUGGGGAAUAUUGGACAAUGGGCGAAAGCCUGAUCCAGCAACGCCGCGUGAGGGAUGACGGCCUUCGGGUUGUAAACCUCUUUCAGCAGGGAGCGAAGCGCAAGUGACGGUACCUGCAGAAGAAGCACCGGCCAACUACGUGCCAGCAGCCGCGGUAAUACGUAGGGUGCGAGCGUUGUCCGGAAUUAUUGGGCGUAAAGGGCUCGUAGGCGGUUUGUCGCGUCGGGAGUGAAAACUCAGGGCUUAACCCUGAGCCUGCUUCCGAUACGGGCAGACUAGAGGUAUGCAGGGGAGAACGGAAUUCCUGGUGUAGCGGUGAAAUGCGCAGAUAUCAGGAGGAACACCGGUGGCGAAGGCGGUUCUCUGGGCAUUACCUGACGCUGAGGAGCGAAAGUGUGGGGAGCGAACAGGAUUAUAUACCCUGGGUAGUCCACACCGUAAACGUUGGGCGCUAGGUGUGGGACUCAUUCCACGAGUUCCGUGCCCGCAACUAACGCAUUUAAGCGCCCCGCCUGGGGAGUACGGCCGCAAAGGCUAAAACUCAAAGGAAUUAACGGGGGCCCGCACAAGCGG